AGAGUUUGAUCAUGGCUCAGAUUGAACGCUGGCGGCAGGCCUAACACAUGCAAGUCGAGCGGUAGCACAGAGAGCUUGCUCUCGGGUGACGAGCGGCGGACGGGUGAGUAAUGUCUGGGAAACUGCCUGAUGGAGGGGGAUAACUACUGGAAACGGUAGCUAAUACCGCAUAACGUCGCAAGACCAAAGUGGGGGACCUUCGGGCCUCAUGCCAUCAGAUGUGCCCAGAUGGGAUUAGCUAGUAGGUGGGGUAACGGCUCACCUAGGCGACGAUCCCUAGCUGGUCUGAGAGGAUGACCAGCCACACUGGAACUGAGACACGGUCCAGACUCCUACGGGAGGCAGCAGUGGGGAAUAUUGCACAAUGGGCGCAAGCCUGAUGCAGCCAUGCCGCGUGUGUGAAGAAGGCCUUCGGGUUGUAAAGCACUUUCAGCGGGGAGGAAGGCGAUAAGGUUAAUAACCUUAUCGAUUGACGUUACCCGCAGAAGAAGCACCGGCUAACUCCGUGCCAGCAGCCGCGGUAAUACGGAGGGUGCAAGCGUUAAUCGGAAUUACUGGGCGUAAAGCGCACGCAGGCGGUCUGUCAAGUCGGAUGUGAAAUCCCCGGGCUCAACCUGGGAACUGCAUUCGAAACUGGCAGGCUAGAGUCUUGUAGAGGGGGGUAGAAUUCCAGGUGUAGCGGUGAAAUGCGUAGAGAUCUGGAGGAAUACCGGUGGCGAAGGCGGCCCCCUGGACAAAGACUGACGCUCAGGUGCGAAAGCGUGGGGAGCAAACAGGAUUAGAUACCCUGGUAGUCCACGCCGUAAACGAUGUCGAUUUGGAGGUUGUGCCCUUGAGGCGUGGCUUCCGGAGCUAACGCGUUAAAUCGACCGCCUGGGGAGUACGGCCGCAAGGUUAAAACUCAAAUGAAUUGACGGGGGCCCGCACAAGCGGUGGAGCAUGUGGUUUAAUUCGAUGCAACGCGAAGAACCUUACCUGGUCUUGACAUCCACAGAACUUACCAGAGAUGCAUUGGUGCCUUCGGGAACUGUGAGACAGGUGCUGCAUGGCUGUCGUCAGCUCGUGUUGUGAAAUGUUGGGUUAAGUCCCGCAACGAGCGCAACCCUUAUCCUUUGUUGCCAGCGGUCCGGCCGGGAACUCAAAGGAGACUGCCAGUGAUAAACUGGAGGAAGGUGGGGAUGACGUCAAGUCAUCAUGGCCCUUACGACCAGGGCUACACACGUGCUACAAUGGCAUAUACAAAGAGAAGCGACCUCGCGAGAGCAAGCGGACCUCAUAAAGUAUGUCGUAGUCCGGAUUGGAGUCUGCAACUCGACUCCAUGAAGUCGGAAUCGCUAGUAAUCGUAGAUCAGAAUGCUACGGUGAAUACGUUCCCGGGCCUUGUACACACCGCCCGUCACACCAUGGGAGUGGGUUGCAAAAGAAGUAGGUAGCUUAACCUUCGGGAGGGCGCUUACCACUUUGUGAUUCAUGACUGGGGUGAAGUCGUAACAAGGUAACCGUAGGGGAACCUGCGGUUGGAUCACCU
Molecule: ribosomal RNA, 1528 nt
Filed under: Klebsiella pneumoniae
Lineage: Bacteria; Pseudomonadati; Pseudomonadota; Gammaproteobacteria; Enterobacterales; Enterobacteriaceae
Description: bacterial SSU rRNA
Rfam family: Bacterial small subunit ribosomal RNA
Source: RNAcentral